GGCCCGUUAGCUCAGUUGGUUACAGCGUCGUGCUAAUAACGCGAAGGUCGUGGGUUCGAUCCCCCCACGGGCCA
This 74-nucleotide transfer RNA is filed under the name Schistocerca americana (American grasshopper). RNAcentral's name for it is "tRNA-Ile". It matches the Rfam family "tRNA". From Rfam's summary of the family: Transfer RNA (tRNA) molecules are approximately 80 nucleotides in length. The record is from RNAcentral. Lineage: Eukaryota; Metazoa; Arthropoda; Insecta; Orthoptera; Acrididae.